Molecule: ribosomal RNA, 407 nt
Filed under: Verrucomicrobiota bacterium
Lineage: Bacteria; Pseudomonadati; Verrucomicrobiota
Description: Verrucomicrobia bacterium partial 16S ribosomal RNA
Rfam family: Bacterial small subunit ribosomal RNA
Source: RNAcentral
UGGGGAAUAUUGGACAAUGGAGGAAACUCUGAUCCAGCACUUCUGCGUGUGUGAAGAAGGUUUUAGGACUGUAAAACACUUUUAGUAGGGAAGAAAAAAAUGACGGUACCUACAGACGAAGCAACGGCUAAAUACGUGCCAGCAGCCGCGGUAAUACGUAUGUUGCGAGCGUUAUCCGGAAUUAUUGGGCUUAAAGGGCAUCUAGGCGGUAAGACAAGUUGAAGGUGAAAACCUGUGGCUCAACCAUAGGCUUGCCUACAAAACUGUUGAACUAGAGUACUGGAAAGGUGGGUGGAACUACACGAGUAGAGGUGAAAUUCGUAGAUAUGUGUAGGAAUGCCGAUGAUGAAGAUAACUCACUGGACAGAAACUGACGCUGAAGUGCGAAAGCUAGGGGAGCAAACAGG